Molecule: ribosomal RNA, 467 nt
Filed under: uncultured Rhodocyclaceae bacterium
Lineage: Bacteria; Pseudomonadati; Pseudomonadota; Betaproteobacteria; Rhodocyclales; Rhodocyclaceae
Description: bacterial SSU rRNA
Rfam family: Bacterial small subunit ribosomal RNA
Source: RNAcentral
CCUACGGGAGGCAGCAGUGGGGAAUUUUGGACAAUGGGCGAAAGCCUGAUCCAGCCAUUCCGCGUGAGUGAAGAAGGCCUUCGGGUUGUAAAGCUCUUUCGGCAGGAACGAAACGGUGGGCUCUAACAUAGCCUGCUAAUGACGGUACCUGAAGAAGAAGCACCGGCUAACUACGUGCCAGCAGCCGCGGUAAUACGUAGGGUGCGAGCGUUAAUCGGAAUUACUGGGCGUAAAGCGUGCGCAGGCGGCUUUGUAAGACAGAUGUGAAAUCCCCGGGCUUAACCUGGGAACUGCGUUUGUGACUGCAAGGCUCGAGUGUGGCAGAGGGGGGUGGAAUUCCACGUGUAGCAGUGAAAUGCGUAGAGAUGUGGAGGAACACCGAUGGCGAAGGCAGCCCCCUGGGUCAACACUGACGCUCAUGCACGAAAGCGUGGGUAGCAAACAGGAUUAGAUACCCCUGUAGUCCC